This 1035-nucleotide ribosomal RNA is filed under the name beta proteobacterium TSBY-42. RNAcentral's name for it is "bacterial SSU rRNA". It matches the Rfam family "Bacterial small subunit ribosomal RNA", at positions 51 to 1091 of the family's 1533-position model. Lineage: Bacteria; Pseudomonadati; Pseudomonadota; Betaproteobacteria. The record is from RNAcentral.
UCUCGUGCCGGUCGAACGGCAGCGCGGGGCAACCUGGCGGCGAGUGGCGAACGGGUGAGUAAUAUAUCGGAACGUACCCUGGAGUGGGGGAUAACGUAGCGAAAGUUACGCUAAUACCGCAUACGAUCUAAGGAUGAAAGUGGGGGCUUCGCAAGAACCUCAUGCUCCUGGAGCGGCCGAUAUCUGAUUAGCUAGUUGGUAGGGUAAAAGCCUACCAAGGCUUCGAUCAGUAGCUGGUCUGAGAGGACGACCAGCCACACUGGAACUGAGACACGGUCCAGACUCCUACGGGAGGCAGCAGUGGGGAAUUUUGGACAAUGGGCGCAAGCCUGAUCCAGCAAUGCCGCGUGAGUGAAGAAGGCCUUCGGGUUGUAAAGCUCUUUUGUCAGGGAAGAAACGGUGUUUUCUAAUACAGAAUGCUAAUGACGGUACCUGAAGAAUAAGCACCGGCUAACUACGUGCCAGCAGCCGCGGUAAUACGUAGGGUGCAAGCGUUAAUCGGAAUUACUGGGCGUAAAGCGUGCGCAGGCGGUUUUGUAAGUUUGUCGUGAAAGCCCCGGGCUCAACCUGGGAAUUGCGAUGAAGACUGCAAGGCUUGAAUCUGGCAGAGGGGGGUAGAAUUCCACGUGUAGCAGUGAAAUGCGUAGAGAUGUGGAGGAACACCGAUGGCGAAGGCAGCCCCCUGGGUCAAGAUUGACGCUCAUGCACGAAAGCGUGGGGAGCAAACAGGAUUAGAUACCCUGGUAGUCCACGCCCUAAACGAUGUCUACUAGUUGUCGGGUUUUAAUUAACUUGGUAACGCAGCUAACGCGUGAAGUAGACCGCCUGGGGAGUACGGUCGCAAGAUUAAAACUCAAGGAAUUGACGGGGACCCGCACAGGCGUGGAUGAUGUGGAUUAAUUCGAUGCACGCGAAAACCUUACCUACCUUGACAUGUACGAAGCUGAGAAGAUUGGCUGUGCUCGAAGAGACCGUACACAGUGCUUGCAUGCUGUCGUCAGCCUCGUGUCUGUGAAUGUUGGGUUAAGUUCGGCA